UCUCUCCCUUCCUUCACGUGUGCCCCCUCCCCCAUCUUUUUCUCCUCCUCUUUACCGUGCCCUACCUCUAGCCGUACCCUCCAGCCGACCACCAUCGCUCUUCUCCUUCUUUUCUUCUCCGAUCCACGGUCAAUGCCCCUAUUUUUCUUCCUUCUCUUUCAGUUUUCUCUUUCGUUCAAACCACUGCCGACUGUCUCUACUUCCGACGAAGCCAAGAUCCCGUCGAGUCCAAGCUUCGUCCACGCAAGCACACCGACGUCCGAUCUCUUAUCAUCGUCCCAUCGCCGCUGCACCGUUCGCCUGAAGUCAUCGUCCGUCCAGUUUGCACAGCCGAGCCGCGACUCCUUCGUGCGCAUAGUCCUACAGCCGAGCCAUUCGUUCCCCAUAGAAACCACCCGUGAGUCGCACGUCGUUUGUCCAAGCCGGCUUUCACUCCACUUUGUUGCACGAUCUUUCGUUUAGGUUCGAUAAUUACUGCCUCAUUCCCACUGUAAUGUCGAAAUUGUUUUGUUGGUAACAAAUUAAGUUUGGGUUAUGAUUAUUACAAGUUGUUCAAACGUUACGUUUGGGAUAAUUGGCUAAAUUGUUAACUUAUUUUUUAAGGUGUUGAAAGUAACGUUUUGUCCUUGUAUUCAUAACCAAUUUGUGAAUUUUUGGAGUUCGGCUCGCCAAUACUUGGUAAGCUAGAAUCUACCUCGAGGAGAAAUUAAGUGGGAGUAUUUAUUGUGGAAAUAAUUGAGUUUCAUAUCCUUAUGGUUAGGUGUUUUUUGUUGGAUAUAGUUGCUCGGGAGACCUGAGUAACUUUGAGGCAAAAGUAACAAUGGUGGCAAACCGACGAGGGGUAGGAAGGAAGUGUGAUUGUCAUAGGGAAUAUUUUAAUUUUCUUUUGCUUUAUGUUUUUCUUUCUUCCCUUAGUACAUGAGUUUGUUUAAAAUAUUUUGUGAUGAAACUGAGUUUACGAAAUGUUAUUUUGUGAACAAUAUUUUUAAAGUUUUAUUUAUUUGAAAUAGGGCCUCAACUUAA
Long non-coding RNA from Cucumis sativus (cucumber), 1023 nucleotides. RefSeq lists it as uncharacterized. NCBI's taxonomy places the organism in Eukaryota, Viridiplantae, Streptophyta, Magnoliopsida, Cucurbitales, Cucurbitaceae. The transcript is spliced from 2 exons. The record is from RefSeq and is a predicted model, not a curated record.